GUUGUAAGACAUGGAAGAAAAAUUAAUCCAUACCUCUCUUAGAAAAAAAAGAAGGAACCACUUUGCUGAAUGACCUUUGAGCUGAAUAGACCAUCGAGUUUUAAAAGUACCUGCCAGUUUCACAUCCCUUCUGAGACUUUAAAGAGCAACUGAAUGAUUUUGGACCUCUGCUGAAAUUCAAACCAAAUUAGAAGCCAGACGGUUGUUACCCAUAAUCCCCACAUGAGAUGAAUCCCAGGAAGCCCAUCUGCUUGAAUUCCCCAUUUCCACAUGGAAGUUAGGAUCUCCAGCUAUUCAUAAUCUGGUGAGUCAUUUCAUCUUUUUUCUUUUGUCAUGUGUGCCAAAGAAAAUUUCUGCUGAGGAAUAUAAGGAAUCUAAAUUCUGACUGGUGUCUAUGGAGCAUAUAGUAAAUGGUCCUUAUCAUGAAUAUCUGUAGAAAACUCAGAAGGGUAGAACAUAAUAUUGUGCAUGUUAUAAACUAAAUUCUAUUCUCAACUAUAGCUACUCAGGACUUCUAAUCUUGACUGUUAAAAUCAACUUCCCAUUUCUAGUCUCCUCCCCUGGCCCAUCCCAUCCAUGCACUACCAGAUUAAUCUUUCAAAGUAGCUCUGUCUAAUAGAAUG
RNAcentral lists this long non-coding RNA (623 nucleotides) under Felis catus (domestic cat). RNAcentral's name for it is "lncRNA (ENSFCAG00000051913.1)". The record is from RNAcentral. Lineage: Eukaryota; Metazoa; Chordata; Mammalia; Carnivora; Felidae.